GCCAGUGUGGUGUAAUGUUUUGAGCACUGGACUACAAUUCUGGAGACCAGGGUUCAAAUACCUGCUUGGCCA
Molecule: transfer RNA, 72 nt
Filed under: Phrynosoma platyrhinos (Desert horned lizard)
Lineage: Eukaryota; Metazoa; Chordata; Lepidosauria; Squamata; Phrynosomatidae
Description: tRNA-OTHER
Source: RNAcentral